Molecule: ribosomal RNA, 503 nt
Filed under: bacterium A5S_VP6_G11
Lineage: Bacteria
Description: bacterial SSU rRNA
Rfam family: Bacterial small subunit ribosomal RNA
Source: RNAcentral
UCCUACGGGAGGCAGCAGUGGGGAAUAUUGGACAAUGGGGGGAACCCUGAUCCAGCCAUGCCGCGUGUGUGAAGAAGGCCUUUUGGUUGUAAAGCACUUUAAGCGAGGAGGAGGCUACCGAGAUUAAUACUCUUGGAUAGUGGACGUUACUCGCAAAAUAAGCACCGGCUAACUCUGUGCCAGCAGCCGCGGUAAUACAAAGGGUGCAAGCGUUAAUCGGAUUUACUGGGCGUAAAGCGCGCGUAGGUGGCCAUUUAAUUCAAAUGUGAAAUCCCCGAGCUUAACUUGGGAAUUGCAUUCGAUAUUGGUUGGCUAGAGUAUGGGAAAGGAGGGUAAAAUUCCCGGUGCAGCGGCGAAAUGCGUAAAAAUUUGGAGGAAUCCCGAUGGGGAAGGAGGCCCUCUGGCCUAAUACUGACACGAAGGUGCAAAAGCAUGGGGAGCAAACGGGAUUAAACACCCCGGUAGUCCCUGCCAAAAACAAAGUUUUCCACCCCGUGGGGGCC